AGGAUGAACGCUGGCGGUGUGCCUAAUACAUGCAAGUCGAACGAGAUCUUCGGAUCUAGUGGCGGACGGGUGAGUAACACGUUGGUACCUACCCCUAAGUGGGGAAUAACUGCCCGAAAGGGUGGCUAAUACCGCAUAAUCCCGCAAGGGUAAAGCAGUAAUGCGCUUAGGGAGGGGCCUGCGUCUGAUUAGCUAGUUGGUGAGGUAAUUGCUCACCAAGGCGACGAUCAGUAGCUGGAUCGAGAGGUUGACCAGCCACACUGGGACUGAGAUACGGCCCAGACACCUACGGGUGGCAGCAGUCGAGAAUUUUUCUCAAUGGGGGAAACCCUGAAGGAGCGACGCCGCGUGGAGGAUGAAGGUCUUCGGAUUGUAAACUCCUGUCAUUUGGGAACAAGGUGCGCGCGUUAACUGCACGCGCAUUGAUAGUACCAGAAGAGGAAGAGACGGCUAACUCUGCGCCAGCAGCCGCGGU
RNAcentral lists this ribosomal RNA (475 nucleotides) under uncultured bacterium. Its description in RNAcentral is "partial small subunit ribosomal RNA". It matches the Rfam family "Bacterial small subunit ribosomal RNA", at positions 26 to 521 of the family's 1533-position model. The record is from RNAcentral.